CCGAGUUUACAACUCCCAAACCCCUGUGAACAUACCUUUAUGUUGCCUCGGCGGAUCAGCCCGCGCCCCGUAAAACGGGACGGCCCGCCGCAGGAACCACAAAACUCUGAUUUUAGUGUAACUUCUGAGUCUAAAAAACAAAUAAAUCA
RNAcentral lists this unclassified non-coding RNA (149 nucleotides) under uncultured Fusarium. RNAcentral describes it as "sequence contains ITS1". Lineage: Eukaryota; Fungi; Ascomycota; Sordariomycetes; Hypocreales; Nectriaceae. The record is from RNAcentral.